This 422-nucleotide ribosomal RNA is filed under the name uncultured bacterium. RNAcentral describes it as "bacterial SSU rRNA". It matches the Rfam family "Bacterial small subunit ribosomal RNA", at positions 355 to 774 of the family's 1533-position model. The record is from RNAcentral.
UAAGGAAUAUUGGACAAUGGUCGCAAGACUGAUCCAGCCAUGCCGCGUGCAGGAAGACGGCCCUAUGGGUUGUAAACUGCUUUUGUACCAGAGAAAACCUAUCUACGUGUAGAUAGCUGAUAGUAUGGUAAGAAUAAGCAUCGGCUAACUUCGUGCCAGCAGCCGCGGUAAGACGAAGGAUGCAAGCGUUAUCCGGAUUCAUUGGGUUUAAAGGGUGCGUAGGCGGGCUUGUAAGUCAGUGGUGAAAUCUCUCAGCUUAACUGAGAAACUGCCAUUGAUACUGCAGGCCUAGAGUAUAGAUGACGUUGGCGGAAUAUGUCAUGUAGUGGUGAAAUACUUAGAUAUGUCAUAGAACACCGAUUGCGAAGGCAGCUAACGAAACUAUAACUGACGCUGAGGCACGAAAGUGCGGGGAUCAAACA